CCUUUUUCACCUUACUUCAAGAGUUCUAGCCCUUAGAACUCAACCAGCCACCAAUCAAUCAGAUCUUCCUCCAAAAUUGAGUCUGAACCUUUCUAAACUAUCCACUAGACUUGACCAUCUUUUUCUAGACCUCUUAAACCCUUAGAGCUAUUAGGAUUAGGCUUAUCUUAAAAGAACAAGUCUUGUCCUAAAAUCUAUAGUUGUAAGAGAGGGAGAGAGGGA
This 222-nucleotide long non-coding RNA is filed under the name Elaeis guineensis (African oil palm). RNAcentral describes it as "long non-coding RNA (EGUI_LNC078489)". The record is from RNAcentral. Lineage: Eukaryota; Viridiplantae; Streptophyta; Magnoliopsida; Arecales; Arecaceae.